RNAcentral lists this long non-coding RNA (520 nucleotides) under Camelus dromedarius (Arabian camel). RNAcentral's name for it is "lncRNA (ENSCDRG00005009084.1)". Lineage: Eukaryota; Metazoa; Chordata; Mammalia; Artiodactyla; Camelidae. The record is from RNAcentral.
AAAGCCUGGAGAAGUGGAAUCUCGCCGGCGCCGCUCCCUGCGCGGGACUCGCGGAGCGGCACUGGGCAUGCUCAGUCUCCGGAGCCCGUCCAGGUCUCAAGUAGGAAGCUCGUGCGCUGCACCCGCAGCUGAUUCUGGCGCUCCUGGCUGGGCGAGACUGGAGCAGAGCUGACGGGCGCCGGAGCCGAGGCGGACGCCGCGCGCACCGCCGAACAACAAUGCUGUGCUCACCCAAAUUCCCGGUUGUUGAAACCCAACCAGGAAAGGGACUUCCUUAAGGUUGGAGCUGCACUGAGUGAGCUGUUGCCGUCCGGGGCCAAGCAUGCUGUGGUUGGACCUGCCCAGCCGUGGAACAGAAAUGUUUGCUGGAUGGAAAAUCCAUAAAAGAAAGCUCCUGUGAAAGCCUGAGACAGACAGUGACUUAAGCAAAAUCAGGAUUGCUUUGAGGGAGCCUGUUGUUAAAUGGGUCAGCUUCCUGGAGCAAAGAAUGGAGUGGAAAAGUGGAGCGGUGAGUGGAAUC